This 465-nucleotide ribosomal RNA is filed under the name Vreelandella stevensii. RNAcentral's name for it is "partial 16S ribosomal RNA". It matches the Rfam family "Bacterial small subunit ribosomal RNA", at positions 338 to 795 of the family's 1533-position model. The record is from RNAcentral. Lineage: Bacteria; Pseudomonadati; Pseudomonadota; Gammaproteobacteria; Oceanospirillales; Halomonadaceae.
CCUACGGGCGGCAGCAGUGGGGAAUAUUGGACAAUGGGCGAAAGCCUGAUCCAGCCAUGCCGCGUGUGUGAAGAAGGCCUUCGGGUUGUAAAGCACUUUCAGUGGGGAAGAAAGCCUUGGGGCUAAUACCCUCGAGGAAGGACAUCACCCACAGAAGAAGCACCGGCUAACUCCGUGCCAGCAGCCGCGGUAAUACGGAGGGUGCGAGCGUUAAUCGGAAUUACUGGGCGUAAAGCGCGCGUAGGCGGUCUGAUAAGCCGGUUGUGAAAGCCCCGGGCUCAACCUGGGAACGGCAUCCGGAACUGUCAGGCUAGAGUGCAGGAGAGGAAGGUAGAAUUCCAGGUGUAGCGGUGAAAUGCGUAGAGAUCGGGAGGAAUACCAGUGGCGAAGGCGGCCUUCUGGACUGACACUGACGCUGAGGUGCGAAAGCGUGGGUAGCAAACAGGAUUAGAUACCCCGGUAGUC